GGAGAGGUGCCAGAGUGGUCGAAUGGGCUCGACUCGAAAUCGAGUGACCCUCCAAAAGGGGGUCCGUGGGUUCGAAUCCCACCCUCUCCGCCA
RNAcentral lists this transfer RNA (93 nucleotides) under Chromatiales bacterium. RNAcentral describes it as "tRNA-Ser". It matches the Rfam family "tRNA". Rfam says of the family: Transfer RNA (tRNA) molecules are approximately 80 nucleotides in length. The record is from RNAcentral. Lineage: Bacteria; Pseudomonadati; Pseudomonadota; Gammaproteobacteria; Chromatiales.